Molecule: long non-coding RNA, 2188 nt
Filed under: Dermacentor andersoni
Lineage: Eukaryota; Metazoa; Arthropoda; Arachnida; Ixodida; Ixodidae
Description: uncharacterized LOC126525939
Source: RNAcentral
CCCUAGUUACACGGGCGUGCUAACCACAGUUAAGACGCACCUCAGUUCCGGCUAACCGAAGUUACACCCAGUUAGACGGAAAGCCUAACUGCGGUUAUUCCACUAACCAUGGUCGCUGCAAACUGAGGUUGGCCACCUCAGUUAGCGAGGCUAACAGACAAGAUGGCGGCACCCAUGCAGAUGGACGAAGGCGGCGCGACUCCAACGAAGGUGACGGCCGAAACAUCUUCCCAAAGGCGUGUCAACUGGUCUGUUGCAACAACAGAGUCGUUGAUACGCAUUUGGGAGGAUGAUUUUGCCGCGCUGCGUUCUAACACGCGUAAUGCGCGCAUUUACCAACAAAUGACGGUAGCACUAAAUGCACGCCUGCCUGCCGGCGAAGUGCCGUACACGGCCAAGCAGCUACGCCAGAAGCUCGAAAACUUGAAUAAGCAAUACCGGAAGCUGAGGCGCACUGGCACAUCGACAGGCUCAAAAGGUGUUGAGUGACCUUUUUAUUGGCAGCUACACUCAUUUUUGGGGACGCUUCCUGUCAACGACACUGACCUUGUGGAGGAGAGCGUGGAGGUGCCAGAAGUUAAUGAAGCGCCUGAUGACGCUGAAGUCAUCGCUUCAUGGGAAGCAGAACAAGAACAUUUCAUGACAGGAAGUGUGGAAGGCAGCCCUGCGCCACCAAAUGAAAACGGUGAAGACGAGAACACUCCAACCCCUGCCGCCAGCUGCCCACCUGGCAGCAGAAAGCGAAAGCGGCCGUCAUCGCUUUUGCAGGAUGUGUUCGCGCUUCACGUGGCGCAGAAGAAAGAGCCCCAAAAAUGCCCAGCAAUCCAUUGAGCUGCGCAAAGAGCUUGUGCAGCUCCAAAAGGAAGCGAAUGAGAUAAACAAAAACACCCUUGAGGUUAUAAAAAACUAUUUUGCAUUCAGACAAAAUAAAGAUUGAAUGGGAGGAACCAAACAUGAUUUUUGUUUUGCUUUCGUUAAACUCGUUCAUAAUAUACUCAUUUUGGAUGUUCCAUACAUCCACCUGUACUUGUUUGCACUAAAUGUCUAAACCAGACCUAUCAUUUUUCUUCUGAAUAGGCGAGGCAAAGUUUCACUCCUGCAUUCAUUUGUGUCACUGAGAAAGCCACAAGACAAUUUUGCUUUAAAUAUACAAAGCACACUAUGUGCAAAUCAGCCUUUCAAUAAGAUAGGUCUACCUAUCGAAAUGCCAGCCAGCCUUUAUGAGGCAUUUUAUCCCUGUUUAUACAACUUCUAUUCACACAGUGUACUUCCAUCUGUCAGUGCCUUUCUUGACUUUUUAUAUAAAAAGCAGUCAUCUACUCCAGCCUUCUGUAGUCUACAAUUCAUUCACAAUACAAAAGAUACCAAGAGCGGAGCCAUAAGUGACACACAAGCGAGUGCAAGAAAACCAAAGCAGACAGUACAUUUACACUGCACGAUAAGUAAUGUUCACAACACACUGGAAAAGUAAGGAGUAAUGUCCGUGGUUGGUGUAGGAAAACUUUCCUCAUCGAGCACUGCACUGAAAGCGAGACCUGGCUUGUAGUAGACACAACUUCUUGCACAAUUCUUACAAACUGUGCAAAUGGAAUUUGUGCAGCAUAUAGAUUGUAGACCGAUGCUUGUCACUGUCUCAUGGUGUCUCCCUAAAAGUGUCGUGAGUCGAAAAACAGCUGGUACAGCGCGCGGCAAUAUGCUUUGCAAGUGCAUCUCUCACUUCCACUCCUAGUGGCUCAUUAUGACUGCUUGUACAUACUGGCUGAGCCCGCCUUGCAUCUUCACUGCGCGCAACUUCAAUCCAGCUUGCAUCACAGUGAUCUGUUAGCUGCUCACAUAUGUUGUUCAGAACACAGCAAGCAUGGAUGAUGCAGUUCACGUUAUCGAUCUCACAUUCCAGGCCCUUAUGCAGGAUUCGGAACCGCGCUUUCAGUCGCCCGAAGGCGUUUUCCACAACACGUCUAGCGCUUGAGAGAUUAUAAUUGAGAAUAUGCGAUACUGAGCCAGUAGGACCUGGCCUUGCAAAAGGUUUUAUUAAGUGAGGCUGCAGAGCGAAUGCUUGGUCAGCCAAGAGAACAGGCCCGACCGAUACUCCUUCAAUUGACUUGGCAUUCAACCUGAACAAAUUGCUGCUCAGUACACUUGGCAGAUGUCACCGCUCGAAUACUGCCGCAUCAUGUAUUCGACCCGG